Thunnus maccoyii (southern bluefin tuna) is the source of this 2174-nucleotide RNA transcript. RefSeq lists it as uncharacterized. The record is from RefSeq and is a predicted model, not a curated record. NCBI's taxonomy places the organism in Eukaryota, Metazoa, Chordata, Actinopteri, Scombriformes, Scombridae. The transcript is spliced from 3 exons.
UUUAAACCUCACCAGCUGAUUUCAUUUAUUAAACCUGCCUGUAUCUGCUUCCAGCCAAGUACUGUCAGUUGCUCUUGGUUGGACAGGCAGGUAUGAAAGGCAGACAGAGGCAUAAAUGAAAUACAUUUUUAACUGGGAAAAAAAAAACCAUGGGGAAAAAAGGGACUUGACAUAUGAAGCAAUCUGGGAUCUGACAGCCUGGGCUUUCAUCAAUUGAACCAAAGUGAUGGCUAUGGGUAGCAAACCAUUUCCUGCUUUAGAUUCAAGUGAUAAGACCUGCCUGUGAGUCAGUAUUGUUCAGAUGAGGCAUUUAAGAAUCACUGGGUCGAAGAUGAUGUUCAUUACCUACCGGGGAAAAACCUUAUUGAUCUGUCCGCAGCCUUUAUGAAGCAGAAUGGGACUUAAAUCACCUGACCAGCUACAUUGCGCUCAGCCCCAAGCCAGAUGAUUACUCUGUUUGUCCGUCCAUGUUUAUCUUUCACUGGUUCUUCCUCUUUUCCUCCACUCCCUCUGGCUUUGUGCCCAUAUCUCUGGCUCUCUGUGCCUCUUUGUUUAAUUGUUUUGUUAUAUUUAGUGUCUCAAUUUUAGACACUAAAAUUUAGAGCUGUAGCAAUUAGUGGAUUAAUCGACUACUUGAUCGACAGAAGAUUUUGAUUAUCACAUAAUCAUUUAAGCUAUUUUUGAAGCAAAAACGGCAAAAAAUUGCUGGUUCCAGCUUCAAAAAUGUGAAUAUUUUCUGGUUUUCAGGCAAUUGAUAAUUGAAGUUGAUAAUGAACUAAUUAUCAGACUGACUCUAAUCUGGACAUCCAGUGAUAACCAGAUUUAGUUUAUAAAUGAUUGCGGACCUGUUUUUUUAUUUAUUUUUUAUAGCUGCAGUACUUUCAAUACUAUUGAAUGUGUAAUUAAUGGAGAUUGUAUUGUUUUAAACAUGUGCUAUCAAAAAAGUACCAAUAUUUUUGACAACCUUACUACUGAUCAUGACUGACUGAUGUUUCUAUUUUCGGUUGCUCAGGUCCACCCAGGUCCACCCAGGUCCCUGGCCAUGGAGAGCAGGUCCACUGUCACUUGUUUUGUCACUCAAUGUAGAACGUAGCGCAUCCACUCUAAAUCCAUUUAAUAGCUACACCACACUUUUAUUUGCUUAGAUCUUAAGAAUAUUUCCAUGUGACACCCAAACUAAUGACUUUUUUUUUUUUUAUUAUACUGCGUUCUCCUUCUAACUAUGUUUGGUAACUCAGUCUAUACCAAAGUUCAUCUUGUUGCCUUGGCACCGCACACCACAAUGUGUUACACAAGGCAUUAAUGUCAUUGUGCUGUGACACAGUCUAGGAUUAUCUCCUGAUAACCUUGUUCUUACAUGAAACGUCAAAGGAUUUGUCAAAUACAGAGUUAAAGUUUCCCUGUUAAAUAAAGUGUUGAGUGUAUGUGUAUAUGUGCGCACACACCUUCUGGUAAAAAGAGACAGAGGCAAAGGUGGCAGACGGAAAGCGAACUGAUAAGAUGGGGGUUGGAGGUGAGCACCGAGACACUGUAUUACUCAAACAACAUUCGCACAACAGUUUGUUGUUGGCAGCAUGUCAAGUGUUGUAUUGAAGUUCGUCAUUUCAGAGUUUGUCGGGGGCGAGACAAAAGUUUGUAGAACUUGGCAAGCAGUCAACCUCCAUAUCACUAGCUGUUGUCCUUAGGUCUCUGUCUCUUAACCCACUAAUAUUGCUUCUCCUAUAAGUGUUGCAUUGUUACAUGUAGGCUAUGUAUGCUAUUUAUGUAUUAGUUAGCAAGUUAAAGGGCCAAAAUGUUUAUAUCCCUAACAGGCAGGCAUGAUAAUGUUAGUUUUAUGUGUAUGGUUCUUGUUUGUUAGUACAUAAAUGCUUUGAUCCUCUGUCACUGCUUUCCUUGCGGUCAGAACAACUCAGCAACUCUAAGUGAGUUGCUAGGGAAAAGGAAGGGGCCAGAUGUAAGGCAUUUCUUUAUGAAACAGCCUAAAAGACAUGGUGAACAGAAUUGUAUGGGAGAGUCUGGUAAUGUAAUUCAUCUAGGGGAAUCAGCAUGUAGUCACAGGGCACAGCAAGGAGGAAAGGAAUGGCAGGAACAGUGUAGCAGCGACAGAGGACAAUCACCGUGGUAUAUAGACAGGACACAGUGUGCAGGAAAGGGACAGCUUGGUGUUGACUGAG